ACUCCGGGAAACCGGGGCUAAUACCGAAUAAUCUAUUUCACUUCAUGGUGAAAUACUGAAAGACGGCAUCUCGCUGUCGCUAUAAGAUGGGCCCGCGGCGCAUUAGCUAGUUGGUGAGGUAACGGCUCACCAAGGCGACGAUGCGUAGCCGACCUGAGAGGGUGAUCGGCCACACUGGGACUGAGACACGGCCCAGACUCCUACGGGAGGCAGCAGUAGGGAAUCUUCCACAAUGGGCGAAAGCCUGAUGGAGCAACGCCGCGUGAGUGAAGAAGGUUUUCGGAUCGUAAAACUCUGUUGUAAGGGAAGAACAAGUACAGUAGUAACUGGCUGUACCUUGACGGUACCUUAUUAGAAAGCCACGGCUAACUACGUGCCAGCAGCCGCGGUAAUACGUAGGUGGCAAGCGUUGUCCGGAAUUAUUGGGCGUAAAGCGCGCGCAGGCGGUCCUUUAAGUCUGAUGUGAAAGCCCACGGCUCAACCGUGGAGGGUCAUUGGAAACUGGGGGACUUGAGUGCAGAAGAGGAAAGUGGAAUUCCAAGUGUAGCGGUGAAAUGCGUAGAGAUUUGGAGGAACACCAGUGGCGAAGGCGACUUUCUGGUCUGUAACUGACGCUGAGGCGCGAAAGCGUGGGGAGCAA
RNAcentral lists this ribosomal RNA (640 nucleotides) under Lysinibacillus contaminans. RNAcentral describes it as "bacterial SSU rRNA". It matches the Rfam family "Bacterial small subunit ribosomal RNA", at positions 146 to 771 of the family's 1533-position model. Lineage: Bacteria; Bacillati; Bacillota; Bacilli; Caryophanales; Bacillaceae. The record is from RNAcentral.